GGGGAAUCUUCCGCAAUGGACGAAAGUCUGACGGAGCAACGCCGCGUGAACGAUGACGGCCUUCGGGUUGUAAAGUUCUGUUAUACGGGACGAAUGGUACGACGGUCAAUACCCGUCGUAAGUGACGGUACCGUAAGAGAAAGCCACGGCUAACUACGUGCCAGCAGCCGCGGUAAUACGUAGGUGGCAAGCGUUGUCCGGAAUUAUUGGGCGAAAGGGCGCGCAGGCGGCGUCGUAAGUCGGUCUUAAAAGUGCGGGGCUUAACCCGGAGGGGACCAAAACUGGGGUGCUAGAGUAUCGGAGAGGGAAGCGGAAUUCCUAGUGUAGCGGUGAAAUGCGUAGAUAUUAGGAGGAACACCAGUGGCGAAAGCGGCUUUCUGGACGACAACUGACGCUGAGGCGCGAAAGCCAGGGGAGCAAACG
Molecule: ribosomal RNA, 423 nt
Filed under: uncultured Megasphaera sp.
Lineage: Bacteria; Bacillati; Bacillota; Negativicutes; Veillonellales; Veillonellaceae
Description: bacterial SSU rRNA
Rfam family: Bacterial small subunit ribosomal RNA
Source: RNAcentral